UACAGAGGUCUCAAGCGUUGUUCGGAUUCAUUGGGCGUAAAGGGUGCGUAGGCGGCGGGGUAAGUCGGAUGUGAAAUCCCGGGGCUCAACCCCGGAACUGCAUUCGAUACUGCCUUGCUAGAGUACUGGAGAGGAGACUGGAAUUUACGGUGUAGCAGUGAAAUGCGUAGAUAUCGUAAGGAAGACCAGUGGCGAAGGCGAGUCUCUGGACAGUUACUGACGCUGAGGCACGAAGGCCAGGGGGGCAAACGGG
RNAcentral lists this ribosomal RNA (253 nucleotides) under uncultured bacterium. RNAcentral describes it as "partial 16S ribosomal RNA". It matches the Rfam family "Bacterial small subunit ribosomal RNA", at positions 524 to 776 of the family's 1533-position model. The record is from RNAcentral.